GUAGUCAUUUGCUUGUCUCAAAGAUUAAGCCUUGCAUGUCUAAGUACACACUUUGGUAAAGUGAAACCGCGAAUGGCUCAUUAAAUCAGCUACAAUUUAUUAGAUCGUACACUGUUACUUGGAUAACUGUGGGAAUUCUAGAGCCAAUACAUGCCGAGAGUCUCUGCUCUUCGGGGCAGAGCGCAGUUAUUAGACCAAAACCAGCCGUAUUCUUCGGGGUACGCUCUUUUGGUGACUCUGGAUAACCUUCAGCCGAUCGCAUGGCCUCGUGCCGGCGACGUAUCUUUCAAGUGUCUGCCCUAUCAACUUUCGAUGGUACGUGAUAUGCCUACCAUGGUGAUAACGGGUAACGGGGAAUCAGGGUUCGAUUCCGGAGAGGGAGCCUGAGAAAUGGCUACCACAUCCAAGGAUGGCAGCAGGCGCGCAAAUUACCCACUCCCAGCUUGGGGAGGUAGUGACGAAAAAUAACAAUGCGGGACUCUAAGAGGCCCCGUAAUUGGAAUGAGUACACCUUAAAUCGUUUAACGAGUAUCAAUUGGAGGGCAAGUCUGGUGCCAGCAGCCGCGGUAAUUCCAGCUCCAAUAGCGUAUAUUAAAGUUGCUGCAGUUAAAAAGCUCGUAGUUGGAUCUGGGGCUUGAGGUCGCUGUCUAUCGUUUCGGCGAUGACGGUGAUGCUCAGCUCUGCUUGCCGGUGACUGUUGCGGUGUUCUUCACUGAGCGCUGUAGCAGCACGGCACGUUUACUUUGAAAAAAUUAGAGUGCUCAAAGCGUGCUUGUCGCUUGAAUAAUGUUGCAUGGAAUAAUGGAAUAGGACCUCGGUUCUAUUUUGUUGGUUUUCGGAGCUUGAGGUAAUGAUUAAGAGGGACGAACGGGGGCAUUCGUAUUGCGGUGUUAGAGGUGAAAUUCUUGGAUCGCCGCAAGACGGACUACUGCGAAAGCAUUUGCCAAGAACGCUUUCAUUAAUUAAGAACGAAAGUCAGAGGUUCGAAGACGAUCAGACACCGUCCUAGUUCUGACCAUAAACGAUGCCGACCAGCGAUCCGUAGUGGUUGCUUUAUGGACCCUACGGGCAGCCUCCGGGAAACCAAAGUAUUUGGGUUCCGGGGGAAGUAUGGUUGCAAAGCUGAAACUUAAAGGAAUUGACGGAAGGGCACACCAGGAGUGGAGCCUGCGGCUUAAUUUGACCCAACACGGGAAAACUCACCCGGUCCGGACACCGUAAGGAUUGACAGACUGAUAGCUCUUUCUUGAUUCGGUGGAUGGUGGUGCAUGGCCGUUCUUAGUUGGUGGAGUGAUUUGUCUGGUUAAUUCCGAUAACGAACGAGACUCUAGCCUGCU
This 1337-nucleotide ribosomal RNA is filed under the name metagenome. Its description in RNAcentral is "SSU rRNA". It matches the Rfam family "Eukaryotic small subunit ribosomal RNA", at positions 20 to 1352 of the family's 1831-position model. The record is from RNAcentral.